Molecule: ribosomal RNA, 253 nt
Filed under: uncultured bacterium
Lineage: Bacteria
Description: partial 16S ribosomal RNA
Rfam family: Bacterial small subunit ribosomal RNA
Source: RNAcentral
UACGUAGGGGGCAAGCGUUGUCCGGAUUUAUUGGGCGUAAAGAGCGUGUAGGCGGCCAAGUAAGUCUGCUGUGAAAACUCGAGGCUUAACCUCGAGCUGUCGGCGGAAACUAUUUGGCUAGAGUCCGGAAGAGGAGAAUGGAAUUCCCGGUGUAGCGGUGAAAUGCGCAGAUAUCAGGAGGAACACCGGUGGCGAAGGCGGAUCUCUGGGCCUUACCUGACGCUCAGGUGCGAAAGCUAGGGGAGCGAACAGG